This 477-nucleotide ribosomal RNA is filed under the name uncultured bacterium. RNAcentral describes it as "bacterial SSU rRNA". It matches the Rfam family "Bacterial small subunit ribosomal RNA", at positions 30 to 504 of the family's 1533-position model. The record is from RNAcentral.
UGAACGCUAGCGGCAGGCCUAAUACAUGCAAGUCGAACGGUAAGGUCCCGCUUGCGGGAUACACGAGUGGCGCACGGGUGAGUAACGCGUAUGCAACCUACCUUCAUCUGGAGAAUAGCCCCGAGAAAUCGGGAUUAAUACUUCAUAAUAAUAUAAAACGACAUCGUUUAAUAUUUAAAGCUCCGGCGGUUGAAGAUGGGCAUGCGUGACAUUAGAUAGUUGGUGAGGUAACGGCUCACCAAGUCAGCGAUGUCUAGGGGUUCUGAGAGGAUUAUCCCCCACACUGGUACUGAGACACGGACCAGACUCCUACGGGAGGCAGCAGUAAGGAAUAUUGGUCAAUGGACGAAAGUCUGAACCAGCCAUGCCGCGUGCAGGAUGACAGCCCUAUGGGUCGUAAACUGCUUUUAUAAGAGAAGAAACCUUUCUACGUGUAGAGAGCUGACGGUAUCUUAUGAAUAAGGACCGGCUAACUCC